RNAcentral lists this long non-coding RNA (1230 nucleotides) under Notechis scutatus (mainland tiger snake). RNAcentral describes it as "lncRNA (ENSNSUG00000010151.1)". The record is from RNAcentral. Lineage: Eukaryota; Metazoa; Chordata; Lepidosauria; Squamata; Elapidae.
CUAACAUCCAUAUCUAUUCCAUUACCUUCUUAUUGCUAUCAUGAUUAUGAUUAUUAUUACUGUUCUAUAUUCCAUUUUAUUCUGUCCUGUCCUGUUCUAUAUUCUAUUCUAUAUUCCAUUCUAUUCUAUUCUAUUUUGUUCUGUUCUAUAUUCUAUUUUAUUCUGUUCUAUAUUCCAUUCCAUUCCAUUCCAUUUGGUUCUGUUCUGUUUUAUAUUCUAUAAUCUAUUCUAUUCUAUAUUCUGUUCUGUUCUGUUCCGUUCCAUUCUGUUCUGUUCUGUUUCAUUCUGUUCCAUUCCUAUUUUUCUGUUCUGUUCUGUUCUGUUCUGUUCUGUUCUAUUCUACUCCAUAUUCUAUUCCAUUCCANNNNNNNNNNGUUCUGUUCUAUUCUACUCCAUAUUCUAUUCCAUUCCAUUCCAUUCCAUUCCUAUUUCUUUAUUCUGUUCUAUUCUAUUCUAUUCUACUCCAUAUUUUAUUCUAUUCCAUAUUCCAUUCCAUUCCAUUCCAUUCCUAUUUUUAUUCUGUUCUGUUCUGUUCUAUUCUACUCCAUAUUCUAUUCUAUUCCAUAUUCUAUUCUAUUCCAUUCCAUUCCAUUCCAUUCCUAUUUCUUUAUUCUGUUCUGUUCUGUUCUAUUCUACUCCAUAUUCUAUUCUAUUCCAUAUUCUAUUCCAUUCCAUAUCUAUUUCUUUAUUCUGUUCUGUUCUGUUCUGUUCUGUUCUAUUCUAUUCUACUCCAUAUUCCAUUCUAUUCCAUAUUCUAUUCUAUUCCAUUCCAUUCCUAUUUCUUUAUUCUGUUCUGUUCCGUUCUAUUAAUUAUUUGUUCCUAUUCUCUGUGGUAUUUGUUUGCAUCAUUUCUUCAAAGUGUCAAUUUAAAAAAAAUAAAGGUAAAUAAGUGUUGAAAUUCUGACACACACUUCUCCCAACAAGUUCAUUGGGCUCUUUCAGUAAGGUUAGAAGCAUUCGGCAUUUUACAGAGGGGAAACAAUGGCUUCUUUUUACCUUUUAAUAUUUUAUGUUUUUGCUGUGCAUCGUCUGUCACUGCUCGGCCGCAAGGAAAAGUAUCUGAUAGGGUGAACUUCCUGCCUCUUUAGCUGAAUAAUUUGGGGUUUGGGCUGAAGUCUUUUCAAUGUCUUUUUUUUUUAAUUGUUAUUCUCCUACCCAGUUUUACUUUGCUCCUCCCGUAGAAGGCAGAUAGUCCUUGACUUAGAACCAUCCCUUUAGUGACCGUUUGAA